CCUUACCUGGCCUUGACAUACUAAGAACUUUCCAGAGAUGGAUUGGUGCCUUCGGGAACUUUAGAUACAGGUGCUGCAUGGCUGUCGUCAGCUCGUGUCGUGAGAUGUUGGGUUAAGUCCCGCAACGAGCGCAACCCUUUUUCCUUAUUUGCCAGCGGGUUAAGCCGGGAACUUUAAGGAUACUGCCAGUGACAAACUGGAGGAAGGCGGGGACGACGUCAAGUCAUCAUGGCCCUUACGGCCAGGGCUACACACGUGCUACAAUGGUCGGUACAAAGGGUUGCUACCUCGCGAGAGGAUGCUAAUCUCAAAAAGCCGAUCGUAGUCCGGAUCGCAGUCUGCAACUCGACUGCGUGAAGUCGGAAUCGCUAGUAAUCGCGGAUCAGAAUGCCGCGGUGAAUACGUUCCCGGGCCUUGUACACACCGCCCGUCACACCAUGGGAGUUUGUUGCACCAGAAGUAGGUAGUCUAACCGCAAGGAGGACGCUUACCACGGUGUGGCCGAUGACUGGGGUGAAGUCGUAACAAGGUAAGCGUAGAUGA
Molecule: ribosomal RNA, 543 nt
Filed under: uncultured bacterium
Lineage: Bacteria
Description: bacterial SSU rRNA
Rfam family: Bacterial small subunit ribosomal RNA
Source: RNAcentral